GCGUAUAUUAAGUUGUUGCAGUUAAAAAGCUCGUAGUUGAAUUUCGGGGUCAGUAGGUUGGUCGUGCCUAUGGUAUGUACUGGCUUUACUGAUUCCUCCUUCUUGAAGAACUGUAAUGUCAUUAAUUUGGUGUUGCAGGGAAACAGGACUGUUACUUUGAAAAAAUUAGAGUGUUUAAAGCAAGCUAACGCUUGAAUACAUUAGCAUGGAAUAAUGAAAUAGGACGUUUGAUCCUAUUUUGUUGGUUUCUAGGAUUGACGUAAUGAUUAAUAGGGAUAGUUGGGGGCAUUAGUAUUCAAUUGUCAGAGGUGAAAUUCUUGGAUUUAUUGAAGACUGACUACUGCGAAAGCAUUUGCCAAGGAUGUUUUCAUUAAUCAAGAACGAAAGUUAGGGGAUCGAAGACGAUCAGAUACCGUCGUAGUCUUAACCAUAAA
This 434-nucleotide ribosomal RNA is filed under the name uncultured Glomus. Its description in RNAcentral is "SSU rRNA". It matches the Rfam family "Eukaryotic small subunit ribosomal RNA", at positions 597 to 1036 of the family's 1831-position model. The record is from RNAcentral. Lineage: Eukaryota; Fungi; Glomeromycota; Glomeromycetes; Glomerales; Glomeraceae.